Rhododendron vialii is the source of this 859-nucleotide long non-coding RNA. RefSeq lists it as uncharacterized. The transcript is spliced from 4 exons. Lineage: Eukaryota; Viridiplantae; Streptophyta; Magnoliopsida; Ericales; Ericaceae. The record is from RefSeq and is a predicted model, not a curated record.
GGAAACCAAUUCUGCCAAAUUAAUGGCGGGCUGAACCAUUCCGCCAAAUUAAUGGCGCGAUGGACCGAAAUUCCUCCAAAUGAAAAUUAAUCUGUAAAUCCUGUCGUAUGCCUCUCUCUCGUUCCCUCUCCUGCGCUCUCUCUCUCUCUCUCCUGCGUGUGCCAUCACAGCCAUACUCAAUUUCUUCCACAUUUAGAUCAUCUCAGGAGAUACUCUGGGUGUAUACUCCAUAGCUGAGGUCAAAUUUGGGCUUUCUUAAUUAGGAUCAUCAUUCUCUACAGGAUAUCCUGCCCAAGGCAUGGGAAAGAAAAGACGACUUGAAUUUGUGAAAUAGAGCAACAUUCACAGCCUAGUCUCUCACAUGGAUCUCCACAGCGUACUGAAUCACGUGGGGCUUUGCAACCCACCCAGCCACAUGGAUCUUCUCAGACUAUCCAUUUGCCCAGAGCUUCACAGCCUCACCAUUUGUCCGGAACUUCACGGCCUUCCAACCCACAUAGCUCUUCACGCCCCAUCCAGUCCCAUUGCUCUUCGCAGCCUCAUGAGGUAGAGGGAGACUUGGAUGUACAGGCAAAUGAACAGAGAGGUAAUAGGACGGUCUAGCUCAAAGCGUGAUUUCAACCCGUCAUUUUGAAAGCUCUUUCGAGAAGAUGUUACGGAUGCCAUCGUCGACUUUUGAUUAGUUUUCUAUUCCAUGUAGUUUAGGCAAUAUGCGUACUUGUUGGAUUGUGAUAUUUUGGUAGGGUUAUGAACAUUUGAUCUACUUUUGAAUGUUGACAUGUUAUGGAACAUACCUUCUAGCUGUGGUAUUUCCUAUGGAUUGUUUCUCCAAUGAAGAAUGAAUUGUUUUGCUUUUCGA